UCAAGAUAUAUUUGGAAUCUGACAGGUUCAUCUCUUGCUGGAAUACGGCUCGACGUUGUACAGAGCCACCCGAUUCUAUUGGAUUCAGUCAACUGCUACCUCAGGCCCUCUCAAUUCCUGCGGUUUUCUUGGAUUCUCGAACUGCUCGGGGAUAUUUACUUGAGUUUAUUGAGUACUCGCUCUCCGGAGAGUACAUAGCGACUUCUUCUAUUAACUGGUCAUCCUACGAAUGAUCUGUUUGCGGAUAUUUCUGCACUAUUGAUACGCAGAAUUAAACACGGAUUUCCUUUCUUAUCAUAGAGCUAUUUUCAUAGUUCAUCCAACAAAUGAUUUGUUCGCGGAUAUUUCUGCACUACUGCUACGAAGAAUUAUUCACGGAAUACUUUGUGCCUUUAUAUUGUACCACACGCACCACGUCUAUUUUAAAUCUCAUGCUUCCAUUGUUGUGGAUGAAGAGGAAUUUCACAUCAAGGAUAAUCAAGAAAUGGUAAGGAGGAGUCACAAACUAAAAUACUGCUAUCCUUUUUACCGGUGGUGGUGAAAAUAUACCAGGCUGAACUAAAAUGUAGCGGAAUUUGAUAGUGUGUGAAAAUAUGGCACGGAUGAAAUGUCUAACCUUUUUGCCAGUUUUGUAUGGUUCAAGGUUUGACUGUUUAACUCCACAAUAUUCAUGCGCCUUUUCUACUGUAGUUAAUUUUACC
This is a long non-coding RNA of Lolium perenne, 701 nucleotides long. RefSeq lists it as uncharacterized. The record is from RefSeq and is a predicted model, not a curated record. Lineage: Eukaryota; Viridiplantae; Streptophyta; Magnoliopsida; Poales; Poaceae.